UGGGGAAUUUUGGACAAUGGGCGAAAGCCUGAUCCAGCAAUGCCGCGUGUGUGAAGAAGGCCUUCGGGUUGUAAAGCACUUUUGUCCGGAAAGAAAUCCUUGGCUCUAAUACAGUCGGGGGAUGACGGUACCGGAAGAAUAAGCACCGGCUAACUACGUGCCAGCAGCCGCGGUAAUACGUAGGGUGCAAGCGUUAAUCGGAAUUACUGGGCGUAAAGCGUGCGCAGGCGGUUUGCUAAGACCGAUGUGAAAUCCCCGGGCUCAACCUGGGAACUGCAUUGGUGACUGGCAGGCUAGAGUAUGGCAGAGGGGGGUAGAAUUCCACGUGUAGCAGUGAAAUGCGUAGAGAUGUGGAGGAAUACCGAUGGCGAAGGCAGCCCCCUGGGCAAUCAGACU
RNAcentral lists this ribosomal RNA (396 nucleotides) under uncultured bacterium. RNAcentral's name for it is "partial 16S ribosomal RNA". It matches the Rfam family "Bacterial small subunit ribosomal RNA", at positions 355 to 741 of the family's 1533-position model. The record is from RNAcentral.